Molecule: long non-coding RNA, 1232 nt
Filed under: Pogona vitticeps (central bearded dragon)
Lineage: Eukaryota; Metazoa; Chordata; Lepidosauria; Squamata; Agamidae
Description: lncRNA (ENSPVIG00000007446.1)
Source: RNAcentral
AGACAUGGGUGUGUGAGGUAAGCCCUAUUGAAAGAACAGCCUUCCUCAGGUGUUAAUAGCUGUGUGGAUGAGGGAAUUUCAGCAGUUGUGCUUAGCAGAAUGGGUAACACCUGGUGAAAUUCCUGCUCCCAGGCAUCAAAUAAUGUGCUUCAGGCUUGCUCUCCUUUUCCUUCAGCCACUGCAGGUUUGUGGAAGCCUGUCAGAAAAUGUGUUUAAAAAAAAAAACCCAAAGUACCUCAUCUGGUUUUAAAUACUGUAUCACAUAGAAUUGAAUUUCUAAGAAAGAGCAGCCCUUAGAAUUUUUAAAGGCAUCCCUUGCUGGGCAUCUCCUCCACCCACCCCCCCGCUCCGUGUUUUUGGAGGGAAAAAAAGAUCGGUGAGUGUUCUGAGGUGUUUCUGACAGGACUGUAGUAGACAGCAGCUACCAGAAGAGGGACCGGAUGGGAAGCUGUUUGCAUAAAUGGUCUCCCCUUGAUCCAGAGAGCUGCCCAAUGGAAAUCCAUCAGUUAAGUUGCUAACCUCUUCACCCAUCCUUGCUCUUUUACCAUCAGUUUGAGGUCCAUGGGAUUAGCAGAAACCAACACAUAAGGGAUGAAGGUGCAAAGCUGGGGACCCUAGCCUCCUGCGAAGAGCCCACUAAGACUGCUCGCCUCCUCCCAAAGAAGCGCCCGCGGGCCAGUCUCUCUCCUCCGGCAGGUGCGUUCAAGAGAGCAGCUUCGCUUGCCCGUUCAUCCUCACCGGUGGCGCUCCUGACACCCGAGAGCAAACCUGGGCAGGAAUCGUGGGGGUUGCCGGAGUCUGGAUUUCCCUCUUCUGUGGUGACCUUAACUUGGAAGGAUCGCAAGUCUUUCUCUCUUUCCCACCCCCCACCCUCCUCUUUUUUGGCAAGGGCGGAGGGAGAGAGGAGAGGAGGGAGGCCGAGCCGCCGUCCAGCCUUCUUUCGCCUUGCGCUCGGGUUCCUGGCAAGGAAUUCCUCUUUAAAGGCGACUCCGAUUGCUGUGUCAGUCAGUCCAGACAGCGGCGGUGGUGGGAGGAGCUGGGGCUGCCGAUGCCGCCUCUUGCUUUGGAAGCGGCUGCCGGAGAUGCUUCGCGCUGGCGAGCGGAGCGGAGAGGAGCGCGCCCGUGAGCGAGGCAGCAGGCGAGCCGCCGACGGAGAGAGCCAGCCAGGCAGCCGGACGGAGAGCGACCGAGGCGGCGAAGCCCAACUCCAGCAUUGCCUGAGCCGCCGCUAA